ACCGUUCAGGGGUAAACCUGAGAAACCCAAAAGAUCGAAUGGGGAGAUUCAUCGUCGACGAAGCUGGACUCCCGUUGGUGUGCGAUUCCCCCGAUUGGGACUCUGUUCCAAAACGCGGGUACACCCCUUCGGCGAAUAACCGGCGACGUAGUCGUGCACUUCUCCCUUAGUAGUACGUCGCGACCCGUUGUGUGUCGGUCUACGGCCUGGGCUCUUUGCCUGUCGCGGUCAUCGUUUUUGGCCGCGGCAGAGGCUCGGUCGCCCGGCCGGCUGCACGACGGUACUCUGACGGUAUCGGGCCGCAACCAAUCCAUUCUCGAAUGUAUUUGCGUCAGGCCCGCCGCAAGCUCAGACAGCACCCGGCGNGUGUGGACCUAGUACCCUCCACGGGUCUGACCAACUGUUUGCAGGCGGUGUCCUCGGACUGGCCAAGCUUUGAAUUACCGGUCAGCGACGCUAUUGCUUUGGGUACUCUCAGGACCCGUCUUGAAACACGGACCAAGGAGUCUAACAUGUGCGCGAGUCAUUGGGACAUUUAAACCUAAAGGCGAAAUGAAAGUGAAAGUCGUCGUAAGCGUCGACCAAGGGAGGAUGGGCCGCUUACGUCGCGGCCUCGCACUCCCGGGGCGUCUCGUUCUCGUUGAGAAGAGGCGCACCCAGAGCGUACACGUU
Molecule: ribosomal RNA, 672 nt
Filed under: Colletes seminitidus
Lineage: Eukaryota; Metazoa; Arthropoda; Insecta; Hymenoptera; Colletidae
Description: eukaryotic LSU rRNA
Rfam family: Eukaryotic large subunit ribosomal RNA
Source: RNAcentral